GAAUGAAGCAACGCGAUUGGAGCCCGCCCGCCGGAGAGCGGGAGAGGAUUCCCCACCCCGCCGAGCCCCACCUCUCUGAAAACGUCUCUUGAACCCGUUUCGCGGUUCUGGGUAAAUGGUUUUGCAAAUGAGCUACUCCGCUACUGGUCCGCUAGACAGAGACUCCGCCCCCAACUUCAGAGAGGCUGCGCUCUUCCAAGGCUGUGGGAUCCUACGCCGAGCCACCGCAAGCUCCGCCCCCGCUUCCGCAGCCCGCGCUCCGGCCGCCACGCCCCCAGCAGUCGCACUUUUACCGUCUCGCGAGGGUGUGUGCGGUGGCCUCUACGGGGCCCCUCACCCCACACCAGGCGGCGUCACUGAGGCCCGGGGAGCCCAAGUGAUUUUUCCCAAAGCCACUCAUCCCUCUAUAUACCUGACAUCGUGCUGGGGACUGUCAUAAUAAUACUAAUGAUAACUCCACAGCCACUGGGCAACUGGACCACUGGACCAGGUUCUCUCCCAACGUUUUAUUAAGAAUAUUUUCAACAUACAGAAAAAUGGAAAGAAGUCUACAGUGUUCACCCACCACCUAGGAUUCAACGGUUGUUUCCCUUCCGCCAUAUUUGCUUUAUCCCUCUUUACGGGUGUGUGAGGCUUUUGUUCUUUCUGGAUCUUUUUUUUUUAAAUAAAUUUAUUUGAUUUAUUUAUUUUUUA
Molecule: long non-coding RNA, 693 nt
Organism: Orcinus orca (killer whale)
Lineage: Eukaryota; Metazoa; Chordata; Mammalia; Artiodactyla; Delphinidae
Exons: 2
Source: RefSeq, a predicted model, not a curated record